RNAcentral lists this unclassified non-coding RNA (307 nucleotides) under plant metagenome. RNAcentral's name for it is "partial contains 5.8S ribosomal RNA, internal transcribed spacer 2, and large subunit ribosomal RNA". The stretch from base 1 to 105 matches the Rfam family "5.8S ribosomal RNA", at positions 50 to 154 of the family's 154-position model. The record is from RNAcentral.
GAAAUGCGAUAAGUAAUGUGAAUUGCAGAAUUCAGUGAAUCAUCGAAUCUUUGAACGCACUUUGCGCCCGCCAGCACUCUGGCGGGCAUGCCUGUUCGAGCGUCAUUUCAACCCUCAGAACCCCUUGCGGGAUCUGGCGUUGGGGAUUGGCAUCCAGCCAGCCCCGAAAUCUAGUGGCGGUCCCUCCGCGACCUCCCCUGUGCAGUAGCGAUACCUCGCAGCGGGACAGCGGUCUGACCACGCCGUAAAACCCCCAACUUCUCAAGGUUGACCUCGAAUCAGGUAGGAAUACCCGCUGAACUUAAGC